RNAcentral lists this unclassified non-coding RNA (407 nucleotides) under Hemichaena fruticosa. Its description in RNAcentral is "partial external transcribed spacer". The record is from RNAcentral. Lineage: Eukaryota; Viridiplantae; Streptophyta; Magnoliopsida; Lamiales; Phrymaceae.
CUCGGGCAGCGACGACGUGCUGUGCGUGCCUUUUCAGUUGGUUGGUUGGUUAGAGUGUGUAUCUGCCUUGGCCGAUGUCGGUUUUCUGUGUCNUAUACCUGUCGUGAAGGUAUUUGAUGGCUUAAACGUCCCGUUUUCGUCUUGUACUGCGCCUUUAUCUGGCCGUAGCGUGGGGUGGACCAUGAAGAUCCGCUGUGUUCCUCAUCCCGUGCACUGUGAAUGUGCUUGGGAUGUUGGCCCAUGGCGACAUGCUCGAUAUCUUGGAUGCGGAAAAUCGNGUGGGUAUGUGGCCUCUCGUCCCUAUUUGCCCCUAAACAAGCGUUUCGCGCUUCGUGCGGACGANUGCUGCUCCCGUUUUGACCGAGCCUUYGUGGCUUGCCUCAUGCGGUGUCGGCGUCNGUGAAGAA